RNAcentral lists this unclassified non-coding RNA (337 nucleotides) under soil metagenome. Its description in RNAcentral is "partial contains 5.8S ribosomal RNA, internal transcribed spacer 2, and large subunit ribosomal RNA". The stretch from base 1 to 120 matches the Rfam family "5.8S ribosomal RNA", at positions 35 to 154 of the family's 154-position model. The record is from RNAcentral.
GAUGAAGAACGUAGCGAAAUGCGAUAAGUAAUGUGAAUUGCAGAAUUCAGUGAAUCAUCGAAUCUUUGAACGCACAUUGCGCCCCUUGGUAUUCCGGGGGGCAUGCCUGUUCGAGCGCCAUUUCAACCCUCAAGCUCUGCUUGGUAUUGGGCUCCGUCCUCCUCGGACGCGCCUCAAAGACCUCGGCGGUGGCGUCUUGCCUCAAGCGUAGUAGAAACACCUCGCUUUGGAGUGCAUGGCGUCGCCCGCCGGACGAAACCUUUUGUAUUUUCUCAAGGGUUGAACUCGGAUCAGGUAGGGAUACCCGCUGAACUUAAGCAUAUCAAUAAGCGGAGGA